AUUUCCUUCGGGAUUGAUUAUUUUGUGACUGAGUGGCGGACGGGUGAGUAACGCGUGGGUAACCUGCCCUGUACAGGGGGAUAACAGUCAGAAAUGACUGCUAAUACCGCAUAAGACCACAGCACCGCAUGGUGCAGGGGUAAAAACUCCGGUGGUACAGGAUGGACCCGCGUCUGAUUAGCUGGUUGGUGAGGUAACGGCUCACCAAGGCGACGAUCAGUAGCCGGCUUGAGAGAGUGAACGGCCACAUUGGGACUGAGACACGGCCCAAACUCC
RNAcentral lists this ribosomal RNA (276 nucleotides) under uncultured Lachnospiraceae bacterium. RNAcentral describes it as "partial 16S ribosomal RNA". It matches the Rfam family "Bacterial small subunit ribosomal RNA", at positions 73 to 339 of the family's 1533-position model. The record is from RNAcentral. Lineage: Bacteria; Bacillati; Bacillota; Clostridia; Lachnospirales; Lachnospiraceae.